Molecule: long non-coding RNA, 892 nt
Organism: Oxyura jamaicensis (ruddy duck)
Lineage: Eukaryota; Metazoa; Chordata; Aves; Anseriformes; Anatidae
Exons: 2
Source: RefSeq, a predicted model, not a curated record
AAUUUCAGAGCCCAGGUUUGCGGGGCAGCCUGCAGCCUUAACCAAAAAUAGGACAACUGGCUUCUCUGCAGCGUGUCAGGGGAGAGCCCGAAGCAAGUCCCGAGGUGCCGGCGGGCGAUCCCCUUCGAUUAGCGCCGCGCUGCUUUUUGGCCUGAGACGCUCGGACCGACUGCCGAGGCAAAGAGAGAUGCCAGCAGGGACUGCGACCCAGCAGAGACCCAGCCAGUGGGAAUCCUGUCUGCAGAGCUCCUCGAGUCUGUAAAACUGGGUUAGAAAUCUCUUAAGAGGUUUUUGAUUAAUGUAAAUUCCUUUUUUUUUUUUUUAAAUUUUUUUUUCCCCCAGCAAACUAAAGCUUCGGUUUAUAUUCAUGUCCCCUAGAGGCUUAUUUAGUCUGAGAUUUCCUCGCUGAGAAAUAUGCACACAGCUCUUCCUUUUGCUUCCAUUUAAGCAGGAUAGAGCAUCCCAGCGCCCAUCCUUCUGAGGAAGCUGAGACCUCAUCCCACGAGCCAGAGCCACCAGCAUGCAGCACAAGCCACGAGAAGAGCAAGGCAAGCACUCCAGGCAAACUGCUGCAAACUGCAGAAAGGGAGUCAUUUGGAAACUGGGGCAAAAGUUGAAACAGGAUUUAAUUUUAUCUGAGUUGAUUCAUCUGUCCCUAAUUAGUAAUAGCUUCCUAAUGCAUGACGUAAGAAUAUGCAGAGUUAUUAUUAUUAUUUUUUUAAUGAAUAACUUGGCCAGGAUAAAAUAUUGCCAUUCUCAGAUUGUCUCAGAUAGUUCUUUUUAUAUGCCAAUAGAGAUUUGUGCAGUCUAAAAUGAAAAAUACAUGAGAUCCCGUUGUCAUACAGGCUGAAGACUAAAAUUCUGGAUCCUGUCUUGUUCCCAAUUUACUGUA